CACGUAGGGCGCGAGCGUUGUCCGGAAUUAUUGGGCGUAAAGGGCUCGUAGGCGGUUUGUUGCGUCGAGAGUGAAAAUCCGGAGCUUAACUCCGGACUUGCUUUCGAUACGGGCAGACUAGAGGUAGGCAGGGGAGAGUGGAAUAUCCGGUGUAGCGGUGGAAUGCGCAGAUAUCGGAUGGAACACCGGUGGCGAAGGCGGCUCUCUGGGCCUUACCUGACGCUGAGGAGCGAAAGCGUGGGGAGCGAACAGGAUUAGAUACCCUGGUAGUCCACGCCGUAAACGUUGGGCGCUAGGUGUGGGGGACUUCCACGUCCUCCGUGCCGCAGCUAACGCAUUAAGCGCCCCGCCUGGGGAGUACGGCCGCAAGGCUAAA
This 376-nucleotide ribosomal RNA is filed under the name uncultured bacterium. RNAcentral's name for it is "bacterial SSU rRNA". It matches the Rfam family "Bacterial small subunit ribosomal RNA", at positions 524 to 898 of the family's 1533-position model. The record is from RNAcentral.